Molecule: ribosomal RNA, 275 nt
Filed under: uncultured bacterium
Lineage: Bacteria
Description: partial 16S ribosomal RNA
Rfam family: Bacterial small subunit ribosomal RNA
Source: RNAcentral
CCUACGGGUGGCUGCAGUCGAGAAUUUUUCUCAAUGGGGGCAACCCUGAAGGAGCGACGCCGCGUGGAGGAUGAAGGUCUUCGGAUUGUAAACUCCUGUCAUUGGCGAACAAGGCUCGUCCGUUAACUGCGGAUGGGUUUGAUAGUAGCCGAAGAGGAAGAGACGGCUAACUCUGUGCCAGCAGCCGCGGUAAUACAGAGGUCUCAAGCGUUGUUCGGAUUCAUUGGGCGUAAAGGGUGCGUAGGCGGCUGGGCAAGUCUGCUGUGAAAUCCCGG